Molecule: unclassified non-coding RNA, 418 nt
Filed under: soil metagenome
Description: partial contains 5.8S ribosomal RNA, internal transcribed spacer 2, and large subunit ribosomal RNA
Rfam family: 5.8S ribosomal RNA (bases 1-120)
Source: RNAcentral
GAUGAAGAACGUAGCGAAAUGCGAUACGUAAUGUGAAUUGCAGAAUUCAGUGAAUCAUCGAAUCUUUGAACGCACAUUGCGCUCUCUGGUAUUCCGGAGAGCAUGCUUGUUUGAGUAUCAGUAAACACCUCAACUCCUUUAUUGUAGUUGGACUUGAGCUAUCCCAACUGGACUUUUUGUUCCUGGCGGGAGGCUUGAAAUGCAGGUGCAGCUGGACUUUCUUCUGAGCUAUAAGCAUAUUUAUUUAAUCCCUUAACACGGAUUAUUACUUUUUUGCUGCAGCUAACAUAAAGGUUGAAUUUCCAUUGAGCUGACUGAUGCAGGAAUUUGGCAAGGAAUUUUUUUAAUGACUUGUUAAACUCGAUCUCAAAUCAAGUAAGACUACCCGCUGAACUUAAGCAUAUCAAUAAGCGGAGGA